GCAUACGCAGGCUACACAUGCAGUCGAGCGGCAGCACGGGUACUUGUACCUGGUGGCGAGCGGCGGACGGGUGAGAAUGCCUAGGAAUCUGCCUGGUAGUGGGGGAUAACGCUCGGAAACGGACGCUAAUACCGCAUACGUCCUACGGGAGAAAGCAGGGGACCUUCGGGCCUUGCGCUAUCAAAUGAGCCUAGGUCGGAUUAGCUAGUUGGUGAGGUAAUGGCUCACCAAGGCGACGAUCCGUAACUGGUCUGAGAGGAUGAUCAGUCACACUGGAACUGAGACACGGUCCAGACUCCUACGGGAGGCAGCAGUGGGGAAUAUUGGACAAUGGGCGAAAGCCUGAUCCAGCCAUGCCGCGUGUGUGAAGAAGGUCUUCGGAUUGUAAAGCACUUUAAGUUGGGAGGAAGGGCAGUUACCUAAUACGUGAUUGUUUUGACGUUACCGACAGAAUAAGCCCCGCUUACUCUGGGCCAGCAGCCGCGUAAUACAGAAGGGUGCAGCGUUACUGGAUUUACUGGGCGUAAAGCGCGCGUAGGGGUUUGUUAAGUUGGUGUGAAAUCCCCGGGCUCACCGGGAUAU
RNAcentral lists this ribosomal RNA (582 nucleotides) under Pseudomonas savastanoi. Its description in RNAcentral is "bacterial SSU rRNA". It matches the Rfam family "Bacterial small subunit ribosomal RNA", at positions 35 to 622 of the family's 1533-position model. The record is from RNAcentral. Lineage: Bacteria; Pseudomonadati; Pseudomonadota; Gammaproteobacteria; Pseudomonadales; Pseudomonadaceae.